RNAcentral lists this long non-coding RNA (5485 nucleotides) under Gossypium barbadense (sea-island cotton). RNAcentral describes it as "long non-coding RNA (GBAR_LNC013893)". The record is from RNAcentral. Lineage: Eukaryota; Viridiplantae; Streptophyta; Magnoliopsida; Malvales; Malvaceae.
AAGAACUAGAUAAAAGAAGAAAACAACUAUCCAAACAGAGAGCAGCAGAGAGUGAAAUGUAGAAAAUAAUAGAAUAAACUUCUUGUUGUUUAUUCAAAUUUGCUUACUUCUUAAUUCUUAAUGUACAGUAUAUAUAGACUUUCUGAAUUGAGUAACAACCUCACUAACUGACUAACUACUUCUAUUCUCUAAUAUUCAUCCAUCUUCUCUACAGGCAAGACCCGUAGAAAACUCCGAAAACGAGUAAAACUCGACGACGAAAGUGGCUUAGUGAGAACAUCAGCGACCUGAUCACACGCUGGAACUUCUCCAACAGCAACCGUGCCAUCAGCAACCUUUUCACGAACAAAAAAUAAAUCUAACUCAACAUGCUUAAACUUUGAAUGAAGAACAGGAUUUGCAGCAACUGCAACCGCUCCAGAACUGUCACACCAAAUUUGAGGAACACUAUUAGACUGAACAUGUAAUUCUUUAAGUAGCGACAAAAGCCACGUAACCUCACUAGUAACUGCAGCAAGACUUCGGUAUUCUGCCUCAGCAGUAGACCGAGCAACAACCUGUUGUUUCUUCGUACACCAUGACACAGGUGUAUGUCCGAAAUAAACACAGUAUCCAGUAGUAGACCUCCGGUCAUCAAAAUCUAAUCCCCAGUUUGCAUCAGCAUAUCCAACUAAGGACAAACUAGUGGAUGGACGAAACACAAUUCCAAAAUCAAUCGUACCACCUAAAUACCUCAAAAUGCGCUUCAGAGCGGUCAUAUGAACGGAAGUAGGACAAUGCAUAAAUUGACAUAUUCGAUUAACAGCAUAGGCAACAUCAGGCCGCGUAAGAGUGACAUACUGUAAUGCUCCUGCAAGACUCCUGUAUUCAGUCGGAUCCUGUAACCGCUCACCACCAUCGCGAGUCAUCACAGAGGAACUAACCAUCGGUGUAUGAACACUCUUCGCAUUCUCCAUCGAACAACGUAUAAGAAUAUCACGUAUAUACUUCUUCUGACAAAGAUGAAGGCAACCUGACGAAGAAUGAUUAACCUCUAUCCCAAGAAAAUAAUGAAGAUCACCCAUGUUCUUAAGCGAGAACUCACUAUUCAGCAAAUUAACAAACCACUCUAUAACAGAAGGCAUAUCUCCAGUAAUAAUAAUAUCAUCAACGUACACAAGCACAUACAAUAUUGAAGCUGGUACAACUCGAACAAACAAGGAAGCAUCAGACUUUGAAACUACAAACCCCACAGAGACUAGAAAUCCUUUUAGCCUUUCAAACCAGGCACGAGGAGCCUGACGAAGACCAUACAACGCUUUCUUCAAGCGACACACCAAAGGUCUACCAUCUGAGCCAUAUUGAACAUAACCGGGAGAUUGAUGCAUAAAAACUUCAGUGUCAAGGUCACCAUUUAGAAACGCAUUAUUCACAUCCACUUGCCGAAGUGACCACCCCCUAGACACAGCAAUAGACAAAAUAACUCUAAUAGUAGCUGGAUUGACCACUGGACUAAACGUUUCCUUAAAAUCACAACCCGGAACUUGAGAGCAACCUUUUGCAACUAAGCGAGCCUUAUAUCGAGCAAUAGUGCCAUCAAAAUUCUUCUUGAUUCGAAACAGCCAUUUGCACCCAAUGACCUUUCGAUUAUAUGGAGCAGGAACGAGCUCCCAUGUGGAAUUACGCAUAAGAGCAUUAUACUCAUCUUGCGCAGCAGUGCGCCACUCAACAGUAGCCAGAGCUUCUUCAAUUGUAGUCGGUUCAACAGCUUCAACACUUAAAACCUUAGGCUUGUAAACCCCUGCUUUAGCGCGAGUGACCAUUGGGUGAGUAUUGCCCAUAGCUGUCCUACUAAUCUGACUAUCAAAUGCCGACGAAACACCUGCAGACAGUCCCAUAUUAGACGAAGAGAGAGCAUUGGUAUCACCUGAGGAUCCCGAGCCAUGCUCUGCUGGAAGAUCACUCAACUCAGUUCCAUCAUUAGCUGAAUAAUCAUGAGCUGGAAAACUACCCGACCCAGUCCUAACAUCAGUUGAAGGAUCAUGAGACUGGGGCUGCUCCACACUAACAUCUAAUACAGGAUCAGUAGGCUGAGACAACACCCCUUGUACCGACGGUGCCAUCAUGCAUGGCUCAAGAGUCGAGGAUGAAGAUGGCCACACAAGAGGAACAACUGUCGAACUAGUCUGACCGGUUGUUGAUACAAACUUGUCUGAACUAGUCUCAGUAAACAAAAGCCUCUGCUCAUCAAAGACCACAUGCCUUAAAAUUAUAACCUUACCAUCUGGUAAAAGACAUUGAUACCCCUUGUGACGAGGACUGUAGCCCAAAAAAGUCGACGGCUGAGACCGAAAUUCCAAAUUAUGACCCACAAACGGACGUAAGUAAGGAUAACAACAGCAACCAAACACUCGAAGAUGAUCAUAGGUCGGAUCGCUUCCAUACAGUUCCUUAAACGGAGAACUAUCCUGAAGUACAACCGUGGGAAGUCGAUUUAUAAGAUGAACCGCACAACAAAACGCAUACCCCCAGUAUUCCAUAGGCAAAUUUGCAUGAGCCAACAACGUAAUCCCCAUUUCAACAAUGUGACGAUGUUUUCGCUCAGCUACUCCAUUUUUUUCUGAAGUAUACGGACAGGUCAGUCGAUGAAUGAUCCCCUGAGAUUCUAAGACGGACGUAAAACCACGAUAUUCACCUCCCUAAUCGCUCUGAAACUGCUUAAUAGACUUGCCAAACUGUGUCUUAAUCAACUGCUGAAACUGAGUAAAACAUUCAAGUGCUUGAGCUUUUUGACGUAAAAGAUAAACCCAAGUAAAUCUGGUACACAUAUCAAUAAACGAAACAUAAUAUCUCUUAUCACCACAUGCAACAGGUGCAGGAACCCAAAGAUCAGACACAACCAAUUCAAAAGGACGACAGCUAGUAGUCGAAGGGGAGAAAGGCAACUUAUGUGACCUGCCUUUUUGACACGCAGUACAUAUACCAUCCAGACCAAUUUUAUUUGAAACAACAUUACAUUUAUUUAGAAUAUUUUUGACCACAGAAGUCGACGGGUGGCCUAAAUGAUUAUGCCAUAAAGCAAAUACAGAAGUAGUUGAAACUGUAUGUGGAACUUGAGAAUGAGCAACAAAUGGAGCAUUCGUAGGCAACGUAGAAACCGCUGGGAUAGAAAACUAAUAUAGACCAUCAUGAAUGCGGCCCAUCAGCAAUAUCUCCCGAGUCACCGUAUCCUUAAUAACACAAUAGGUAGGGUGAAACUCAAAAAACACAUCAUUAUCACGAGCAAACUGUGAGACAGAUAAGAGGUUUUUCCGUAUACUUGGCACACAUAAAACAUUUGAUAACCGUAACGAUUUAUCUUGAGUAGGUAAAAUAGCCGUACCAAUUGACGAAAUUACCGCAGGAGUACCAUCACCCAUUAAAAGAGAUGACUUACCUGAAUAUGGUGUGACAUUACGUAAAGCUGACACAUCGCGACAGACAUGAUGACUCGCUCCCGAGUUAGGAUACCAAGAUGUGGUGCCACCGCACACUGGAAUGUACGAAUCAUCAUUACCACUACUAGAUCCAAGCUGAGCCGUAUUAAUAUGAGAAUCUGAUACUGAAGGAUCAGAAUAAUCAGACGCAUGUAAAUCCCCUAGCCGUGGAAGCCCAAUACAUGGGUUAGAUCCGGUAUAGACCCGAGCACGCGGUUUGGUAAAUUUCAGAACCGGACCACCAACACCUAGUCCAUCACCAAUCGGUUCAGGCGAGCCGGGAUCAUCUUGAUCAAGUUGAACAAAAUUAAAGGAUGGUACAAUAUUCGGCCCAGCAUUAAACUGAACAUUCGGCCCAUGAGAAGAAUGUUGAACAUUCGGCCCAUCAUUAAAUUGAACAUUUAGUCCAUGGGUUUUGUUUCCACUAGAACCUCGCCACUGUCCAUUUCCAGUAGUAAACCCGUGUAAAGUGUCUCCAUUAUACCCUUGCCUAGUAUCAUGACCGAAUUUAGACAAAUUGGGUUUGUAGGCAUCAUUUUGUGCAUUGGACACAUGUGGCCCAUGUGCUAAUGGCCUAUUUUGCAUGCCAGCACACACAUUUUGACUAACAUAUCUAUUUUGACCAGCAUGACUCCCUUGACCAUAAAAAAUUCUUUGACUCUUCUGAUGAGGAACAACCAUCUGUUCAUCACCAUUUUGCACAAAAAUUCCAGAAUCAAAACCUUCAACACCAGACGUUUUAUUUGAGUCUCGGUGAUACUGAUAAUAGCAUUUUUGAGCCACAUGACCAAACCGACUGCAGAUUUGGCAUUGAACACGAGAUCUGAUGAACCGACCACGACCACGAACAGACGCACGACCUCCAUGACCGGCCCCUUCCACCGAUGGCUCAUUUUCAACAAGAUUCACGUUCAAACUGACCUCCUGCAACACUCGAUCUUGACGACUCUCACAAUCAACUAACGCAUCCACCAGACGUUGCAACGGCAGAACUACAGGCGACAAACGAGCAGAGGAGAUAACCGCCUCAAACUCCGACGGCAAACCCGCAAGCACCACUUCAAUCUUCUCUUUAUCGGAGAUACGAGAGCCAGAAGCAUCUAACAUAGCACACAAAUCUUUAAUCCGAGCAACAUAUGCCUUAAUCGAAAGAUUACCUUUCUUCAACGAGUGUAGUUCAUGCCGAAUCCUCGACUGCUUGGCACCCGUAUCAGCUGCAAAAAUAUUACCGGCCAUGCUUCAUAUGUCGCACGCCGUGCAAGCAUCAUCAAAGGAGGAUUGAUGAGAGGAAGUUACAGUAGACAAAAGCCAGGACAUCAGCAGUUGAUCUUGCUGCGUAAAGACCUGAGCCGCCGGAUUUGGAGCACGAGAUCCAUCGGGUAGAACGAUGAAUCGCGAUGGCGGAGCAACAGUGCCAUCUAAAAAACUUGCGAGUCCAUAGCCAUUAACAAUCAAUUUUACCUGUUUACGCCUUUGAAGGUAAGUACCUUCAUCGAGUUUGACCACUUCAUGUCGAGGAAGAACUGUUGUGACUCGAUCGGCAGCAAAUACACCGGAGCUAGGUUCACCAGACGCUGAAUCAGCAGAAGCCAUGAGAAGCAAUGACCAGAAUCAAUUGGCGAAUGAUACCAUGAAAGAACUAGAUAAAAGAAGAAAACAACUAUCCAAACAGAGAGAAGCAGAGAGUGAAAUGUAGAAAAUAAUAGAAUAAACUUCUUGUUGUUUAUUCAAAUUUGCUUACUUCUUAAUUCUUAAUGUACAGUAUAUAUAGGCUUUCUGAAUUGAGUAGCAACUUCACUAACUGACUAACUACUUCUAUUCUCUAAUACAGGGAUAGGACCAGGCGAAACAUUGAUGUCCUUUUUGUGUUUCCGGUUAUCCAUUUCCUGCAAAAUUUCAAAACCCCCAAAAUAAAAACACUAUGAUAAGCCUUUUAUUUGCACUGUGCAUGUAAACGAUGUAACCAAAGGGGAUUAUAUAGGAGUCUUAAAUCGAUUUAAGCACAUGCACUCAGAUUUAUGCAACUCCAC